GAAACAGGCCGGAGAUGAUCGCUGGUUCCUUCGGGGGCCAGAGGAAAGUCCGGACACCGCACGACAGCAUGCCCGGUGAAAGCCGGGGCACCCGACUGAAAUGGCCGGGUGACGGAAAGUGUCGCAGAAAAUAAACCGCCCGUCCCGCUUCGGCAGGUUGGGUAAGGGUGAAAAGGCGAGGUAAAAGCUCACCGCUCCAAGGGUAACCAGGGAGGCAGGAUAAACCCCAUGUGGUGCAAGACAGAACAGAGCAAACGGGCAGUCGGUCCGGUCCCGCUUGCGGGAUACGCUUGGGUAAUAGUCGCUCCAUGCUUCGGCAGGGGCCGGGUGAUCCUCCGGGUGACCCCGGUCAGAUAAAUGAUCGUCCGCCGGCGCUGAUUACAGCCCGGUGAACAGAAUCCGGCUUACGAAGGCCUGUUUCACUU
RNAcentral lists this RNase P RNA (425 nucleotides) under bacterium. RNAcentral describes it as "RNase P RNA component class A". It matches the Rfam family "Bacterial RNase P class A". Rfam says of the family: Ribonuclease P (RNase P) is a ubiquitous endoribonuclease, found in archaea, bacteria and eukarya as well as chloroplasts and mitochondria. RNAcentral also lists the same sequence under 1 other name. The record is from RNAcentral.